UACGUAGGGUGCGAGCGUUGUCCGGAAUUACUGGGCGUAAAGAGCUCGUAGGCGGUCUGUCGCGUCGGCUGUGAAAACCCGGGGCUCAACCCCGGGCCUGCAGUCGAUACGGGCAGACUAGAGUGCGGUAGGGGAGACUGGAAUUCCUGGUGUAGCGGUGAAAUGCGCAGAUAUCAGGAGGAACACCGGUGGCGAAGGCGGGUCUCUGGGCCGUAACUGACGCUGAGGAGCGAAAGCGUGGGGAGCGAACAGG
Molecule: ribosomal RNA, 253 nt
Filed under: uncultured bacterium
Lineage: Bacteria
Description: partial 16S ribosomal RNA
Rfam family: Bacterial small subunit ribosomal RNA
Source: RNAcentral